Long non-coding RNA from Cyprinodon tularosa, 2008 nucleotides. RefSeq lists it as uncharacterized. Lineage: Eukaryota; Metazoa; Chordata; Actinopteri; Cyprinodontiformes; Cyprinodontidae. The record is from RefSeq and is a predicted model, not a curated record. The transcript has 5 exons.
ACCUCCAUCUGCAGACGAUAAACCAGCCUGCAAAACCUCCACCUCAACCUCCAUCCGCAGAGUUUAAACAAGCCUGCAAAACCUCCACCUCAACCUUCAUCUGCAGAGAUUAAACCAGCCUGCCAAACCUCCACCUAAACCUCCAUCUGCAGUGCUUAAACCAGCCUGCAAAACCUCUAGCUUACUCUCCAUAUAUAUAGAUUAAACCAGCCUGCAAAACCUACACCUUAAUCUCCAUCUGCAAAAGGUAAACCAGCUUGAAAAAACUCCACCUUACUCUCCAUCUGCAGAGUUUAAACCAGCCUGCAAAACCUCUACAUCACUCUCCAUCUGCAGAGAUUAGAACAGCCUGCAAAUCCUCCAUCUCAACCUCCAUCUGAAGGGAUUCAACCAGCCUGCAAGACCUCCACCUCAACCUCGAUCUGAACAGUUUAAAGUAGCCUGCAAGACCUCGACCUCAACUUCCAUCGUUAGAGUUUAAACCAGCCUGCAAAACCUCCACCUCAACCUUCAUCUGCAGAGAUUAAACCUGCCUCCAAAACCUCCACCCUAAUCUUCAUCUCUGGAGUUCAACUCUACCUGCAAAACCUCCACCACACUCGCCAUUAUGGGGUUUCCCAGGCUGGUUACCGGAGCACAGAGUGUGACGAUAUGAUCCUCUCAUGCCGACUAUAUGUUCAACUUUGGAGCACCAAGAUGACGCACUGGGAAGCUACGGAGCAAAGCCAGUUUAUGUUGGGAUCCAGAGGUUUGUCAACCUUUCUCCACCAGAGGGAGCCUGAGACCUUCCUCCUGAGGGCAUGAGUCGACUUCUGCACACCUGUUCUCUAUCUUCUCAUUUGGAACAGAGGUUGAAAGAGCCUUUCCUCAUCCAUACUCCCUACGUUGUGAUUAGCAACUACCAUCUUCCAAAGCGCAGAUCUGGAUUAUGAGACAAUACAAAGGAUCCUGAAUAAUCUGGAGAUCAACCAACCUACAAGACAGAACCCUCGCUGCCUGGAGCCUUACCUGUCUGCCCUCCACCGCCGCCUCUGACCUCAUCCCUCAACCUGCCGACCGGCCUCUAGACCCUCAAGGUCCCCCCCCCCCACCGGUUUGAAGCACCCCCCAAAAAGGUAUUAAUCCUAAACUACCACCAAACAGCAAGUUUCCGUGAUCCAGACUAAUCAUUUCUGUCCUCCCCUAGUUGCCCCCUGAGAUCAGCCUGAUGAACCAAGGAAUCCAUAAAUCUUUGUCUGAAUUAAUUGUUAAUAUAUCUCACUUUUGUAUUUCCUGUCUCUGGAGUGUUUUCUGCAAGUGGGUUUGGAGACUCGACCCCAACAUGACAGUUUACAAAAAUCUCCUUGAAAAGUAGAGUAAAUGUUUAUAAUAAAGAUUACAUCAGCCUGUAAAUUGAACCCAGAAGAACGAAAGAUGGUAGAAGAACCUUUAAUGAAAACUGUUUUGUGAUUUUAUAUAUUCAAAGGAAAUGGGAAAAUAUAUUAAUGUACUGUAAUGUUGAAGGUGUAUUUAUAUUUUCUGGCUUUUGUAAAGAAAUAAUCCAAGCUCACUUUGAUCAAAUCAAAUUAGGUUUUGAGCAGGAAAUAAUCAAAUGUCAUCAGCAUAAUGUAAAAAAUACCCUUCUGUUUUAACUGUUUUAGUUUAUCAUUGAUUUAAAAUAAAAUUUAGAUGCCAUCUUCAGUAUCGUUAGACAUCAAUUGUGUUACAUAAUAUAUGUUUACAUUGCUUAAAAGUUUUUUUGUUUUUUUUUCUUAUUUCUGCUUUUAGAAUUAAACUCACAUUAUUUAACAUACACAGCAAUAAAGUAGACAUAAUUUGUAUUGAGGAAACAUUGCUUAAAUCUCAUCUAGAUUUUAUAUUGAAAGAAUGUAAGAAGAGAUUGAGAAGAGGGUAGGGAAGGAGGACUUAUAUUUAUAAAAGAAGGAAUCAAAUAUAGUUUGUUAACAAAACGGUCAGAUUUGGAAUAAAUAUUCCUAGAAAUCUGGGUUGGAAAUAACAUUAAAGUUAU